RNAcentral lists this ribosomal RNA (253 nucleotides) under uncultured bacterium. RNAcentral's name for it is "partial 16S ribosomal RNA". It matches the Rfam family "Bacterial small subunit ribosomal RNA", at positions 524 to 776 of the family's 1533-position model. The record is from RNAcentral.
UACGUAGGGCGCAAGCGUUGUUCGGAAUUACUGGGCGUAAAGGGCUCCUAGGUGGCCAACUAAGUCAGACGUGAAAUCCCUCGGCUUAACCGGGGAACUGCGUCUGAUACUGGAUGGCUUGAGAUUGGGAGAGGGAUGCGGAAUUCCAGGUGUAGCGGUGAAAUGCGUAGAUAUCUGGAGGAACACCGGUGGCGAAGGCGGCAGCCUGGACCAACACUGACACUGAGGAGCGAAAGCCAGGGGAGCAAACGGG